Molecule: ribosomal RNA, 584 nt
Filed under: uncultured bacterium
Lineage: Bacteria
Description: partial 16S ribosomal RNA
Rfam family: Bacterial small subunit ribosomal RNA
Source: RNAcentral
UGGGGAAUUUUGGACAAUGGGCGAAAGCCUGAUCCAGCAAUGCCGCGUGUGUGAAGAAGGCCUUCGGGUUGUAAAGCACUUUUGUCCGGAAAGAAAUCCUUGGCUCUAAUACAGUCGGGGGAUGACGGUACCGGAAGAAUAAGCACCGGCUAACUACGUGCCAGCAGCCGCGGUAAUACGUAGGGUGCAAGCGUUAAUCGGAAUUACUGGGCGUAAAGCGUGCGCAGGCGGUUUGCUAAGACCGAUGUGAAAUCCCCGGGCUCAACCUGGGAACUGCAUUGGUGACUGGCAGGCUAGAGUAUGGCAGAGGGGGGUAGAAUUCCACGUGUAGCAGUGAAAUGCGUAGAGAUGUGGAGGAAUACCGAUGGCGAAGGCAGCCCCCUGGGCCAAUACUGACGCUCAUGCACGAAAGCGUGGGGAGCAAACAGGAUUAGAUACCCUGGUAGUCCACGCCCUAAACGAUGUCAACUAGUUGUGGGGAUUCAUUUCCUUAGUAACGUAGCUAACGCGUGAAGUUGACCGCCUGGGGAGUACGGUCGCAAGAUUAAAACUCAAAUGAAUUGACGGGGUCAUAGCUGUUUCCU